GACGAACGCUGGCGGCGUGCUUAACACAUGCAAGUCGAACGGAAAGGCCCCUUUCGGGGGGUACUCGAGUGGCGAACGGGUGAGUAACACGUGAGUAACCUGCCCUUGACUUUGGGAUAACUUCAGGAAACUGGGGCUAAUACCGGAUAGGAGCUCCUGCUGCAUGGUGGGGGUUGGAAAGUUUCGGCGGUUGGGGAUGGACUCGCGGCUUAUCAGCUUGUUGGUGGGGUAGUGGCUUACCAAGGCUUUGACGGGUAGCCGGCCUGAGAGGGUGACCGGCCACAUUGGGACUGAGAUACGGCCCAGACUCCUACGGGAGGCAGCAGUGGGGAAUAUUGCACAAUGGGUGGAAGCCUGAUGCAGCAACGCCGUGUGCGGGAUGACGGCCUUCGGGUUGUAAACCGCUUUCGCUCAUGACGAAGCUUUGUGUGACGGUAGUGGGUAAAGAAGCACCGGCUAACUACGU
Molecule: ribosomal RNA, 466 nt
Filed under: uncultured bacterium
Lineage: Bacteria
Description: partial 16S ribosomal RNA
Rfam family: Bacterial small subunit ribosomal RNA
Source: RNAcentral